AUUGCCUGGGAAACUAAGUCACGUGAGAACCUGGGGACGCUAGGUUCCGGAACCUGACCUGAGCUGGGGCCUGUGCUUCCAGCGGGUGGUGGGGGGCCUGGUGUGCUGGCAUCAAGUAAGCCGACUACCUCGGCAAAGGCUUAGGGACAAGAGACCAGCAGCCUGAACUGGCUGGGGCAUCCGGAAGGCUUAGAUCUUGUGGCCAAGAGUUCAGACCGUGGCGAAGUGGAGAGUGACAUGCAGUUGGAUGGCGGUGACUGCGUGGUCCUGCAACCCUGGUUCCAGUCUGGCAAGCAUUGUAGACCUGGCUGCUGAAGACUGACGGGGCCCAGGGUCCGCUGCCCCCACCGCCAUCACCACCUCGGAACCCAGGGUAACGCUGUCAGUCUUUGAGCCUACGAGGAAACCAUUCGGAAGCUCCAGAACCCAGGCCCUAAUCACAACGCCCCUAUCCAGCAGGAAGCAGCCAGAUGAUCAACGACGCCCUUUUUCCUUUUUAUACUAAAGUAAGAAAUAAGAAUGUUAGCCCAAACUGCACUAUUUUGCAGACCCCUACCAUUUUACAAACUGGUCAGAGUGGAAAAUUCCACCAGGGCCUGAGCUGUGAGAAACAUCCUGUCAGGCAGGUCCCAGGCCUAACCCCUGGCUGCACUAAAUUCCUUCAUUAUCAGCAGCCAAACACACCGCCCCCACCCCAUUUUCACAACAAUCCCAGACCUCUCCUGCCCGGGACUGUAACUGGUCCAGCCUGUAAGCGGGAAGGGGGCUCUGGCACUAGCUGGUACCCCCUCUCCGCAGGUCUUUCUCCCAAUAAAUCUGUGUUGCCAUUGA
This 831-nucleotide long non-coding RNA is filed under the name Homo sapiens (human). RNAcentral's name for it is "long independently transcribed non-coding RNA 1278, transcript variant 4 (LINC01278)". Lineage: Eukaryota; Metazoa; Chordata; Mammalia; Primates; Hominidae. The record is from RNAcentral.